AACAAGUCCUCCAGCUCCCCUAUAUAUUUGUUCUUCACAAAGCUUUGAAGAAAAGAAGAGCUGCAUACGAAUUGAAGACGAACAACAACGAAAAAAGAGUGAAAAAUGAAUGCACCGGAUCGUUACGAACGAUUUGUUGUACCAGAAGGCGUUAAAAAGGUUUCGUAUGAGAGGGAUACGAAGAUAAUGAAUGCAGCAACAUUUACUGUUGAAAGAGAAGACCACACUAUUGGCAACAUUGUUCGCAUGUUGAUGGUGGGUGGCUAACUGGAUUAAACAGUAUUGUGCCUGAAAGAUGAUGCAUGACAGUCUUCACCACUAUGUAUUUGAAUAUGAAUGACCUAUUACCAGAAAUCAAAUCCAUGUGAUGAUGGGGUAGUAUGAUUCACAGUGAACCAUUGAGCAUUUUUGUUACAUUCCAAAUCAUUGUAUCCUUGUAAUAUAACUCGCUUUUCAAUUGAAAUCUUCAUAGUUGAUUUUCAUAUAACUAAGACUUGUCUGGGCACGAUUUGUGUAUCUGUAAGUUUUGAUCGAAGAAAUUGACUACUUGGAUAAAAACAAGUUUUUUUUCCCCUAUAUAUAGUGCCAUCCCAAGAUGAGAAUGCUAGAAGAUUUUAAUCACCAAUUGAGAAAUGAAAGAUUUCAAUCUGGUUAAAUUUCAUAUAAAUCUCAAUUCCAUUUGUAUACACACUUUCAACCACCUACUUUUAAUCUGAUAAUCUAUU
Molecule: long non-coding RNA, 725 nt
Organism: Lycium barbarum (goji berry)
Lineage: Eukaryota; Viridiplantae; Streptophyta; Magnoliopsida; Solanales; Solanaceae
Exons: 3
Source: RefSeq, a predicted model, not a curated record